RNAcentral lists this ribosomal RNA (465 nucleotides) under uncultured bacterium. RNAcentral describes it as "bacterial SSU rRNA". It matches the Rfam family "Bacterial small subunit ribosomal RNA", at positions 470 to 923 of the family's 1533-position model. The record is from RNAcentral.
UGACGGUACCUGCAGAAGAAGCGCCGGCUAACUACGUGCCAGCAGCCGCGGUAAUACGUAGGGCGCAAGCGUUAUCCGGAUUUAUUGGGCGUAAAGGGCUCGUAGGCGGUUUGUCGCGUCUGCCGUGAAAGUCCGAGGCUCAACCUCGGAUCUGCGGUGGGUACGGGCAGACUAGAGUGAUGUAGGGGAGACUGGAAUUCCUGGUGUAGCGGUGAAAUGCGCAGAUAUCAGGAGGAACACCGAUGGCGAAGGCAGGUCUCUGGGCAUUUACUGACGCUGAGGAGCGAAAGCAUGGGGAGCGAACAGGAUUAGAUACCCUGGUAGUCCAUGCCGUAAACGUUGGGCACUAGGUGUGGGGGACAUUCCACGUUUUCCGCGCCGUAGCUAACGCAUUAAGUGCCCCCGCCCUGGGGGAGUUACGNGCCCGCNAGGCUUAAAACCUCAAAGGGANUUGACGGGGGGCCC